RNAcentral lists this ribosomal RNA (254 nucleotides) under uncultured bacterium. Its description in RNAcentral is "partial 16S ribosomal RNA". It matches the Rfam family "Bacterial small subunit ribosomal RNA", at positions 524 to 776 of the family's 1533-position model. The record is from RNAcentral.
UACGGGGGGAGCAAGCGUUGUUCGGAUUUACUGGGCGUAAAGGGCGCGUAGGCGGCCUCUGCAAGUCGACUGUGAAAUCUCCGGGCUUAACCCGGAAAGGUCAGCCGAUACUGCAGGGCUAGAGUGCAGAAGGGGCAACUGGAAUUCUCGGUGUAGCGGUGAAAUGCGUAGAUAUCGAGAGGAACACCUGCGGCGAAGGCGGGUUGCUGGGCUGACACUGACGCUGAUGCGCGAAAGCUAGGGGAGCGAACGGG